Molecule: transfer RNA, 71 nt
Filed under: Kouleothrix aurantiaca
Lineage: Bacteria; Bacillati; Chloroflexota; Chloroflexia; Chloroflexales; Roseiflexaceae
Rfam family: tRNA
About the family: Transfer RNA (tRNA) molecules are approximately 80 nucleotides in length. Their secondary structure includes four short double-helical elements and three loops (D, anti-codon, and T loops).
Source: Rfam by way of RNAcentral
GGGGCUGUGGUCUACUAGGAUGACGCCGCGUUCGCAACGCGGAAGAUCGGGCGCGAUUCCCGACAGCUCCA